UUAAGCGACUAAGCGUACACGGUGGAUGCCCUGGCAGUCAGAGGCGAUGAAGGACGUGCUAAUCUGCGAUAAGCGUCGGUAAGGUGAUAUGAACCGUUAUAACCGGCGAUUUCCGAAUGGGGAAACCCAGUGUGUUUCGACACACUAUCAUUAACUGAAUCCAUAGGUUAAUGAGGCGAACCGGGGGAACUGAAACAUCUAAGUACCCCGAGGAAAAGAAAUCAACCGAGAUUCCCCCAGUAGCGGCGAGCGAACGGGGAGCAGCCCAGAGCCUGAAUCAGUAUGUGUGUUAGUGGAAGCGUCUGGAAAGGCGCGCGAUACAGGGUGACAGCCCCGUACACAAAAAUGCACAUGCUGUGAGCUCGAUGAGUAGGGCGGGACACGUGGUAUCCUGUCUGAAUAUGGGGGGACCAUCCUCCAAGGCUAAAUACUCCUGACUGACCGAUAGUGAACCAGUACCGUGAGGGAAAGGCGAAAAGAACCCCGGCGAGGGGAGUGAAAAAGAACCUGAAACCGUGUACGUACAAGCAGUGGGAGCACGCUUAGGCGUGUGACUGCGUACCUUUUGUAUAAUGGGUCAGCGACUUAUAUUCUGUAGCAAGGUUAACCGAAUAGGGGAGCCGAAGGGAAACCGAGUCUUAACUGGGCGUUAAGUUGCAGGGUAUAGACCCGAAACCCGGUGAUCUAGCCAUGGGCAGGUUGAAGGUUGGGUAACACUAACUGGAGGACCGAACCGACUAAUGUUGAAAAAUUAGCGGAUGACUUGUGGCUGGGGGUGAAAGGCCAAUCAAACCGGGAGAUAGCUGGUUCUCCCCGAAAGCUAUUUAGGUAGCGCCUCGUGAACUCAUCUCCGGGGGUAGAGCACUGUUUCGGCAAGGGGGUCAUCCCGACUUACCAACCCGAUGCAAACUGCGAAUACCGGAGAAUGUUAUCACGGGAGACACACGGCGGGUGCUAACGUCCGUCGUGAAGAGGGAAACAACCCAGACCGCCAGCUAAGGUCCCAAAGUCAUGGUUAAGUGGGAAACGAUGUGGGAAGGCCCAGACAGCCAGGAUGUUGGCUUAGAAGCAGCCAUCAUUUAAAGAAAGCGUAAUAGCUCACUGGUCGAGUCGGCCUGCGCGGAAGAUGUAACGGGGCUAAACCAUGCACCGAAGCUGCGGCAGCGACGCUGAUGCGUUGUUGGGUAGGGGAGCGUUCUGUAAGCCUGCGAAGGUGUGCUGUGAGGCAUGCUGGAGGUAUCAGAAGUGCGAAUGCUGACAUAAGUAACGAUAAAGCGGGUGAAAAGCCCGCUCGCCGGAAGACCAAGGGUUCCUGUCCAACGUUAAUCGGGGCAGGGUGAGUCGACCCCUAAGGCGAGGCCGAAAGGCGUAGUCGAUGGGAAACAGGUUAAUAUUCCUGUACUUGGUGUUACUGCGAAGGGGGGACGGAGAAGGCUAUGUUGGCCGGGCGACGGUUGUCCCGGUUUAAGCGUGUAGGCUGGUUUUCCAGGCAAAUCCGGAAAAUCAAGGCUGAGGCGUGAUGACGAGGCACUACGGUGCUGAAGCAACAAAUGCCCUGCUUCCAGGAAAAGCCUCUAAGCAUCAGGUAACAUCAAAUCGUACCCCAAACCGACACAGGUGGUCAGGUAGAGAAUACCAAGGCGCUUGAGAGAACUCGGGUGAAGGAACUAGGCAAAAUGGUGCCGUAACUUCGGGAGAAGGCACGCUGAUAUGUAGGUGAGGUCCCUCGCGGAUGGAGCUGAAAUCAGUCGAAGAUACCAGCUGGCUGCAACUGUUUAUUAAAAACACAGCACUGUGCAAACACGAAAGUGGACGUAUACGGUGUGACGCCUGCCCGGUGCCGGAAGGUUAAUUGAUGGGGUUAGCGCAAGCGAAGCUCUUGAUCGAAGCCCCGGUAAACGGCGGCCGUAACUAUAACGGUCCUAAGGUAGCGAAAUUCCUUGUCGGGUAAGUUCCGACCUGCACGAAUGGCGUAAUGAUGGCCAGGCUGUCUCCACCCGAGACUCAGUGAAAUUGAACUCGCUGUGAAGAUGCAGUGUACCCGCGGCAAGACGGAAAGACCCCGUGAACCUUUACUAUAGCUUGACACUGAACAUUGAGCCUUGAUGUGUAGGAUAGGUGGGAGGCUUGGAAGUGUGGACGCCAGUCUGCAUGGAGCCGACCUUGAAAUACCACCCUUUAAUGUUUGAUGUUCUAACGUUGACCCGUAAUCCGGGUUGCGGACAGUGUCUGGUGGGUAGUUUGACUGGGGCGGUCUCCUCCUAAAGAGUAACGGAGGAGCACGAAGGUUGGCUAAUCCUGGUCGGACAUCAGGAGGUUAGUGCAAUGGCAUAAGCCAGCUUGACUGCGAGCGUGACGGCGCGAGCAGGUGCGAAAGCAGGUCAUAGUGAUCCGGUGGUUCUGAAUGGAAGGGCCAUCGCUCAACGGAUAAAAGGUACUCCGGGGAUAACAGGCUGAUACCGCCCAAGAGUUCAUAUCGACGGCGGUGUUUGGCACCUCGAUGUCGGCUCAUCACAUCCUGGGGCUGAAGUAGGUCCCAAGGGUAUGGCUGUUCGCCAUUUAAAGUGGUACGCGAGCUGGGUUUAGAACGUCGUGAGACAGUUCGGUCCCUAUCUGCCGUGGGCGCUGGAGAACUGAGGGGGGCUGCUCCUAGUACGAGAGGACCGGAGUGGACGCAUCACUGGUGUUCGGGUUGUCAUGCCAAUGGCACUGCCCGGUAGCUAAAUGCGGAAGAGAUAAGUGCUGAAAGCAUCUAAGCACGAAACUUGCCCCGAGAUGAGUUCUCCCUGACCCUUUAAGGGUCCUGAAGGAACGUUGAAGACGACGACGUUGAUAGGCCGGGUGUGUAAGCGCAGCGAUGCGUUGAGCUAACCGGUACUAAUGAACCGUGAGGCUUAACCUU
Molecule: ribosomal RNA, 2902 nt
Filed under: Escherichia coli KTE198
Lineage: Bacteria; Pseudomonadati; Pseudomonadota; Gammaproteobacteria; Enterobacterales; Enterobacteriaceae
Description: bacterial LSU rRNA
Rfam family: Bacterial large subunit ribosomal RNA
Source: RNAcentral